This 1483-nucleotide ribosomal RNA is filed under the name Limosilactobacillus fermentum. RNAcentral's name for it is "bacterial SSU rRNA". It matches the Rfam family "Bacterial small subunit ribosomal RNA". Lineage: Bacteria; Bacillati; Bacillota; Bacilli; Lactobacillales; Lactobacillaceae. The record is from RNAcentral.
UUUUCCCGGGAGACUAUACAUGCAAGUCGAACGCGUUGGCCCAAUUGAUUGAUGGUGCUUGCACCUGAUUGAUUUUGGUCGCCAACGAGUGGCGGACGGGUGAGUAACACGUAGGUAACCUGCCCAGAAGCGGGGGACAACAUUUGGAAACAGAUGCUAAUACCGCAUAACAGCGUUGUUCGCAUGAACAACGCUUAAAAGAUGGCUUCUCGCUAUCACUUCUGGAUGGACCUGCGGUGCAUUAGCUUGUUGGUGGGGUAACGGCCUACCAAGGCGAUGAUGCAUAGCCGAGUUGAGAGACUGAUCGGCCACAAUGGGACUGAGACACGGCCCAUACUCCUACGGGAGGCAGCAGUAGGGAAUCUUCCACAAUGGGCGCAAGCCUGAUGGAGCAACACCGCGUGAGUGAAGAAGGGUUUCGGCUCGUAAAGCUCUGUUGUUAAAGAAGAACACGUAUGAGAGUAACUGUUCAUACGUUGACGGUAUUUAACCAGAAAGUCACGGCUAACUACGUGCCAGCAGCCGCGGUAAUACGUAGGUGGCAAGCGUUAUCCGGAUUUAUUGGGCGUAAAGAGAGUGCAGGCGGUUUUCUAAGUCUGAUGUGAAAGCCUUCGGCUUAACCGGAGAAGUGCAUCGGAAACUGGAUAACUUGAGUGCAGAAGAGGGUAGUGGAACUCCAUGUGUAGCGGUGGAAUGCGUAGAUAUAUGGAAGAACACCAGUGGCGAAGGCGGCUACCUGGUCUGCAACUGACGCUGAGACUCGAAAGCAUGGGUAGCGAACAGGAUUAGAUACCCUGGUAGUCCAUGCCGUAAACGAUGAGUGCUAGGUGUUGGAGGGUUUCCGCCCUUCAGUGCCGGAGCUAACGCAUUAAGCACUCCGCCUGGGGAGUACGACCGCAAGGUUGAAACUCAAAGGAAUUGACGGGGGCCCGCACAAGCGGUGGAGCAUGUGGUUUAAUUCGAAGCUACGCGAAGAACCUUACCAGGUCUUGACAUCUUGCGCCAACCCUAGAGAUAGGGCGUUUCCUUCGGGAACGCAAUGACAGGUGGUGCAUGGUCGUCGUCAGCUCGUGUCGUGAGAUGUUGGGUUAAGUCCCGCAACGAGCGCAACCCUUGUUACUAGUUGCCAGCAUUAAGUUGGGCACUCUAGUGAGACUGCCGGUGACAAACCGGAGGAAGGUGGGGACGACGUCAGAUCAUCAUGCCCCUUAUGACCUGGGCUACACACGUGCUACAAUGGACGGUACAACGAGUCGCGAACUCGCGAGGGCAAGCAAAUCUCUUAAAACCGUUCUCAGUUCGGACUGCAGGCUGCAACUCGCCUGCACGAAGUCGGAAUCGCUAGUAAUCGCGGAUCAGCAUGCCGCGGUGAAUACGUUCCCGGGCCUUGUACACACCGCCCGUCACACCAUGAGAGUUUGUAACACCCAAAGUUAGGUGGGGUAACCUGUAGGAGCCAGCCGCGUAACGCGUAGCAGUUUAC